Molecule: ribosomal RNA, 624 nt
Filed under: Staphylococcus sp.
Lineage: Bacteria; Bacillati; Bacillota; Bacilli; Caryophanales; Staphylococcaceae
Description: bacterial SSU rRNA
Rfam family: Bacterial small subunit ribosomal RNA
Source: RNAcentral
CGCUGGCGGCGUGCCUAAUACAUGCAAGUCGAGCGAACAGAUAAGGAGCUUGCUCCUUUGACGUUAGCGGCGGACGGGUGAGUAACACGUGGGUAACCUACCUAUAAGACUGGAAUAACUCCGGGAAACCGGNGCUAAUGCCGGAUAACAUUUAGAACCGCAUGGUUCUAAAGUGAAAGAUGGUUUUGCUAUCACUUAUAGAUGGACCCGCGCCGUAUUAGCUAGUUGGUAAGGUAACGGCUUACCAAGGCAACGAUACGUAGCCGACCUGAGAGGGUGAUCGGCCACACUGGAACUGAGACACGGUCCAGACUNCUACGGGAGGCAGCAGUAGGGAAUCUUCCGCAAUGGGCGAAAGCUGACGGAGCAACGCCGCGUGAGUGAUGAAGGUCUUCGGAUCGUAAAACUCUGUUAUUAGGGAAGAACAAAUGUGUAAGUAACUAUGCACGUCUUGACGGUACCUAAUCAGAAAGCCACGGCUAACUACGUGCCAGCAGCCGCGGUAAUACGUAGGUGGCAAGCGUUAUCCGGAAUUAUUGGGCGUAAAGCGCGCGUAGGCGGUUUCUUAAGUCUGAUGUGAAAGCCACGGCUCAACCGUGGAGGGUCAUUGGAAACUGGAAAACU